UUAAUUUUAAAGCUUUCCGAUGGACUACAUUUUUUAUCUUUUCUUGCAGUGCGUAAAUAUAUAAAGAUGGUGGUUUCCCGACUCACGAACAGUCGUCAGGUCGUCUUCUCCUUGACCAAAAAGAUCGGACCUCACUUCACAGCUAGGAACGGACCCAAAGAGAUCGGACCUCAUUACUCAGCUCAGAACAUUGUGUAUUGGAAAACUAAAUUGUCGUUUUUAGUA
Cotesia glomerata is the source of this 225-nucleotide long non-coding RNA. RefSeq lists it as uncharacterized. NCBI's taxonomy places the organism in Eukaryota, Metazoa, Arthropoda, Insecta, Hymenoptera, Braconidae. The transcript has 2 exons. The record is from RefSeq and is a predicted model, not a curated record.